Drosophila pseudoobscura is the source of this 1197-nucleotide long non-coding RNA. RefSeq lists it as uncharacterized. The record is from RefSeq and is a predicted model, not a curated record. The transcript is spliced from 3 exons. NCBI's taxonomy places the organism in Eukaryota, Metazoa, Arthropoda, Insecta, Diptera, Drosophilidae.
CCAUCGACUCGGGCCCGAAUGAUGGCCUGAUGGCUGCCGAUAUCUGUCGAGAAGAGAAGACGCCUCUCCUUUAUGGCAUGCACGGCAAUGUUACGGGGCUACUGCGAGUUCGCCCAGGAAGCUAAAAGAGGCAACAUUUUAGAACACAGCUGAAUAUUCUUACCGGACAACGGCAGCGGUACAUUCGGGCAGUCUGUCGUAGCUGGGGGGAUGCAGGGCACGACCUUGGCAAGGCUGCGGCUCUGGCCCGUCUUGAUCAAUGUCCCCGGUGCUCCAGUCGCUCCAGUACACGUCGUCCUAGCUGCCAACCAGUACCUGACACUUGUUGCCAUCCAGACUGACGUCAUUCUGUUCUUCUUCUUCCUUUUUAUGACAUUUUGACGUCAUUUCUGCUCUUAUUUUUCUGACAUUUUUACGUUAUUUUUGUCAUUUUUGAAACAUGACAAAAUUAUCGCAUGCGAGUGAAUUUUCUAACAUGGAAAGAGCGCUGACUGGCGAUACAUUUGCUCUGUUCUGAAUGGAGGGGAGGAGCGCUGAAUCUGCAAAUGUAAAAUGACAUGCGCGUCGCCAGGUGGAGCAAGUCGGACAUGACAUGUAGGAAGGAUGUUCCGGCCGUAUAUAUUGAGGUGUUCAACCUGGUCGCUUCCCUUUUUCCAGUCUUCGGGUCCCAGAGAUGAGAUAGUUUUGAUGUCGAGACAAGUUUGGGGGGAUCAUGUAAUCAGUGGAUCUGGUAAUGUCCCUGCCAAUUGAGCUGUGCCCGUAUCCUUGUGGCGACAUAUUUCCUGAUGCGAUUGGGCGCUGUGCUGCCUUUCCUGCAAUCAGGCGAUCGUGAAUGUCCAGGUGGUCGAUUCCUAGGACAGUGCUUUUGUUGGGAUUGACCGCAGCGCCCUGUAAUACAGAGCAGAGCCUGUCGCUGUGUCUUUUCCAUAAGCUUAUGCUGACAGGCCCCAUGUCUUGCUGAUCAUCUUCUUGCAUGCAUAAAGCGCAAUGGUGGCCUUCAUCACCCUUUCCACUAUAUUGGGUCUCCAUGCCAGCUUGCUGUUCAGUACUGUGCCAAUAAAUGGGUUGGAAAACUAAUUAAUCACAAUUAAGAACCUUAUCGACUGCAUGUGCAUGUACACCAAACCCUAUCUGCCUGCAAUUCAGAAACCGGAAUUUCAAUACAAAAUGUAUCUAAAAUUUUAAGUAGCGCAAAUA